GGGUGAACGCUGGCGGCGUGGAUGAGGCAUGCAAGUCGAAUGGGUUUAGACCCAUGGCAGACGAGGUAGGAACACGUAGGUACGUACCCCAAAGUCGGGCAUAAUCGGUCGAAAGAUCGGAUAAUUCUCGAUAGUCUCGCAAGAGUAAAGAUUUAUCGCUUUGGGAACGGCCUGCGGGCUAUCAGCUUGUUGGUAAGGUAACGGCUUACCAAGGCUACGACGGCUAGGGGAGGUGAGAGCCUGACCCCCACCGAUGGAACUGCGACACGGUCCAUACUCCUACGGGAGGCCGCAGUCGAGAAUCUUCCGCAAUGGACGAAAGUCUGACGGAGCGACGCCGCGUGAUGGAUGAAGUCCUUCGGGACGUAAACAUCUUUUAUGAGGGAGGAAAUUUUGACGUUACCUCAUGAAUAAGGGGCUCCCAAUUCUGUGCCAGCAGGAGCGGUAAUACAGAAGCCCCGAGCGUUACCCGGAUUUACUGGGCGUAAAGGGUGCGUAGGUGGUCAUAUUAGUCUCCUGUUAAAACUCUGGGCUCAACCCAGAGAUCGCGGGGGAAACGGUAUGACUAGAGGAUGUGAGAGGUUGAGGGAACUCAUGGUGUAGGGGUGAAAUCCGUUGAUAUCAUGGGGAACACCAAAAGCGAAGGCACUCAACUGGCGCAUUCCUGACACUGAAGCACGAAAGCGUGGGUAGCGAACGGGAUUAGAUACCCCGGUAGUCCACGCCCUAAACGCUGUCCGCUAGCUAUUAGGAGAAUCGACCCUCUUAGUGGCGAAGCUAACGCAUUAAGCGGACCGCCUGGGUAGUACGAGCGCAAGCUUAAAACUCAAAGGAAUAGACGGGGGCUCGCACAAGCGGUGGAGCGCGUGGCUUAAUUCGUAGCUAAGCGAAAAACCUUACCAAGGCUAGAAACCAUACUGCACGCCCGGCGAAAGCUGGGAAGCCUUCGAGGGUGUAUGGCAGGUGAUGCAUGGCCGUCGUCAGUUCGUGGCUUGAGUUGUUCCCUUAAGUGGGGAAACGAACGCAACCCUCGUUGCCUGUUACAAGUGUCAGGCGAGACUGCUCCCUCACGGGAGAGGAAGGUGAGGAUGACGCCAGGUCCGCAUGUCCCUUGAUGCCUUGGGCUGCACACACGCUACAAUGGGUGCUACAACGGGACGCAAUAUCGUAAGAUGGAGCAAAUCCUUAUAAAAGCAUCCUCAAUUCGGAUUGAGGUCUGCAACUCGACCUCAUGAAGCCGGAAUCGCUAGUAAUCGCGGAUCAGCACGCCGCGGUGAAUACGUUCCCGAGCC
RNAcentral lists this ribosomal RNA (1292 nucleotides) under uncultured bacterium. Its description in RNAcentral is "bacterial SSU rRNA". It matches the Rfam family "Bacterial small subunit ribosomal RNA", at positions 27 to 1380 of the family's 1533-position model. The record is from RNAcentral.